Dermacentor andersoni is the source of this 216-nucleotide non-coding RNA. The record is from RefSeq and is a predicted model, not a curated record. Lineage: Eukaryota; Metazoa; Arthropoda; Arachnida; Ixodida; Ixodidae.
UGCAAUGAUGAUUGCUGCUGUGGUUUGUUUACAGGCUUUCACUUAUGGUGUAGCUACUCCAGACAGCAGUGUUGCAGAAAAUGAAGUUUGUGGGAGCUUAAUAUCAGAUCACGAAGUUGACAUUCACGUAAGCAAAACCGAGCACAUCAUGACAAGGAAAAAUACAAAGGUGAUGAAAGAUAGCUCCACACAAUGGGAACUGCCACCAGCUGACCA